GUCUACGGCCAUGCCACCCUGAACGUGUCCAAUCUCGUCUGAUCGCGGAAGCUAAGCAGGGUCGGGCCUGGUUAGUACUUGGAUGGGAGACCACCUAGGAAGACCGGGUGCUGUAGGCG
Molecule: ribosomal RNA, 119 nt
Filed under: Pteropus alecto (black flying fox)
Lineage: Eukaryota; Metazoa; Chordata; Mammalia; Chiroptera; Pteropodidae
Source: RNAcentral